GACGAACGCUGGCGGCGCGCUUAACACAUGCAAGUCGAACGGAAAGGCCUGCUUUCCCUUGUGGAUUGCGGGUACUCGAGUGGCGAACGGGUGAGUAACACGUGAGUGAUCUGCCCCCAACUUGGGUAUAAGCCUGGGAAACUGGGUCUAAUUCCCGAUAGGACUGCAGGGUGGUGCCUGUGGUGGAAAACGAUUUUCUAGUGGUUGGGGAUGAGCUCGCGGCCUAUCAGCUUGUUGGUGGGGUAAUGGCCUACCAAGGCGGCGACGGGUAGCCGGCCUGAGAGGGUGGACAGCCACAUUGGGACUGAGAUACGGCCCAGACUCCUACGGGAGGCAGCAGUGGGGAAUAUUGCACAAUGGGCGGAAGCCUGAUGCAGCGACGCCGCGUGGGGGAUGACGGCCUUCGGGUUGUAAACUCCUUUCGACCGCGAGGAAGCCACCUGGUUGGAAGGGUGGUGACGGUAGUGGUAGAAGAAGCACCGGCUAACUACGUG
This 494-nucleotide ribosomal RNA is filed under the name uncultured bacterium. RNAcentral describes it as "partial 16S ribosomal RNA". It matches the Rfam family "Bacterial small subunit ribosomal RNA", at positions 28 to 507 of the family's 1533-position model. The record is from RNAcentral.